RNAcentral lists this ribosomal RNA (242 nucleotides) under Escherichia coli. RNAcentral describes it as "partial 23S ribosomal RNA". It matches the Rfam family "Bacterial large subunit ribosomal RNA", at positions 2707 to 2925 of the family's 2925-position model. Lineage: Bacteria; Pseudomonadati; Pseudomonadota; Gammaproteobacteria; Enterobacterales; Enterobacteriaceae. The record is from RNAcentral.
CACUGGUGUUCGGGUUGUCAUGCCAAUGGCACUGCCCGGUAGCUAAAUGCGGAAGAGAUAAGUGCUGAAAGCAUCUAAGCACGAAACUUGCCCCGAGAUGAGUUCUCCCUGACUCCUUGAGAGUCCUGAAGGAACGUUGAAGACGACGACGUUGAUAGGCCGGGUGUGUAAGCGCAGCGAUGCGUUGAGCUAACCGGUACUAAUGAACCGUGAGGCUUAACCUUACAACGCCGAAGGUGUUU